Molecule: long non-coding RNA, 1210 nt
Organism: Gossypium arboreum
Lineage: Eukaryota; Viridiplantae; Streptophyta; Magnoliopsida; Malvales; Malvaceae
Exons: 4
Source: RefSeq, a predicted model, not a curated record
AUCACCUGCAACCUAGUGGUAUGCUUGGUCAUUACUUUAGAGACCGUCAAAUGUGGACACUUCGGAGCCUAAUCUCAUUGAAGGGAAAGUUUUGAGUUUGCUAUCUGAUUUGCAAAGAGAAAAAAGUUGUUAAGCAAAUAUUUGUAUGCUUUGCUCCUCCGUUCAUUUUCUGAACUUUUUUUCAGCUUAAAAACAAUAACAUGAUAUUUAAAUUAAUUAUGUUAUUAUCAUAGACAAUAUGCUGAUUAUUACCCAAUGAUAAACUUUUGCUUCUGCAAGCAUCAAGAAAGAGGGGAAUGUUGUUGUAUCUGGAGAUGGCACUAAUGAUGCUCCUAUUAUAUCUUUAAAACUCUAUUUAGCUGCUCCCUUUUUUUUCUUUUCUUGUUUAUUGAUCUUACCAUAGAACUUCAGCUUAAUGAUGUGGAAUAAUUGCUUCUUUUUUCAACUUACUGUCGUGGGAUAGUCUGAUAGGGUUUUGGGUGAGGAAUUCACGGAGUGGAUGCCAGCUGAUACUGGACUGGUUUUGGAUUCUUAGAUUUUGGGCAUUGAUUUAGUUAGUCAGAUGGGCCCAUUUAUUAUGAUUUCAUUCUCUUGCUUUGGGAUUUAUUCAGCUUUAUGUACAUACUGUUUAUUUAAUUAUUUUAAUAUCCAGUCCGAUAUUUAAAAAAACAGAUAAAAUUCAAACCGUUUUCAAAAUAAACAAUAUAAAAACUCUUUGUUCAUGCAUCUCUCUCACUGUUCUCCCUUUAGUCUCUCCUCUUUUCCUCUUUUUUUUCUACUAUUUUUCUUCUUUCUCUUGUUUUCUUCUCUCUAAGAGAGUUUUCGUGAGAGAGAAACCCUAAGUUUUCUCUGGCGUUUCUGGUUUUUGUGAUUUUUGAAAUUCGCUGCUUCAACGGAGACUCAUUUCAGACUUGGCAAUGGUGUUUUGGCAUUUCCCAGCUUUAGGAGGUCUGGAGUAUAUUUGACAAAAUCAUCAAGAAGGAAAUACCAGCUACCGUGGUGUAUGAAGAUGAUGAGGUUCUGAUCUUUUUUCUUUUUCUUUUUACUUCUGAUUUUAAAUUCUGCAGAUUCAGUCACUGCUUAUUUGUACGCUGGAAAGAUAUUUUAGAAAUCAGGCCUUUUUUUUUUCCUUCUUGAACUAUGGCUUGAUUCUUGCAACAGGUGAUGCUCAUUAUAUAUAUAUAUAUAUUUAUUUGUUUCUUAAAACAAA